AUUGGAGAACCAGGAACAGCAGUGGGUUUUCGUCCCACUGUGCCGCGCGCAACUAGAAAGAACGCAAAGCGUGGGAGCGAAAAAGGUCUCGUCUCGAUCGCAUCACCGCAGCAGCAGGUACCAAAACGUCGUCCGCAACGAAAAGCAACGACGAACGAAGCAAAAAGUAAGAGAGGGAGAGCAUGAGUGCAAAUACAAUAGCCAAAUGCACACACUUUUGCAUUUGCACGAAAUUCUUCUUUCGAUCGCCCUCGCAGCAGCAACAACAAAUGCACUCUCCUUUGCUCGCUCUCAGCACAAAUACGGGAUCAGAUUGAAAUUAUACAAGGUGGUGGGUAAGCUUACUCUCUUUCAUUCACGCUCAGCACUGCGGAGAGCGAUUUGACGCAAAGCUUGAUGAAAGAGGGAGAGAGAACAACAAAGUUUGCUGCUGUACUGCGUUGCGGAAGCGGACUUUGAAAUCGAAGCUGUCCACGGCUGAGAUUGCGGGACUUGCGAUUCGGAGGUAGAGACUGUGGGCUAGAGUGGGACGGCGCUAGCAAAAUCAGAUAACGCGUUGUCAGCAGUGCCUCUAUUAAUUUUCGUUAUCUUCUUUAUGGGAAAGCAUUUAAAAUUGGUACAGAAAACAAAUACAAAUACAAUCUCUGUGUGCCAGUGUUGCAAAGAAAGGAUGUCUGUGAGGACAGGAAAAGACUCGAGUGAGUGGAAAGACAAACUCAAAGUCAGCUCAAAAACUUGCAAAAUGAUUUUAAAUGACAUAGGAAAUGGCAGGACGCAUCCCAUUCACACACACACAAACAUAUAUGUAUAUAGUCACGAGUCCUUGGCUCCGAUCUUGUUAAGAUAAAGUCGCCUUGCGAAUAUUAACAACAAUAACAACACAACAACAACAACAGCAACAAAAGAAAGCACAAAAUAAAUACUAAAAACAGAAA
Drosophila pseudoobscura is the source of this 935-nucleotide long non-coding RNA. RefSeq lists it as uncharacterized. The record is from RefSeq and is a predicted model, not a curated record. The transcript has 2 exons. Lineage: Eukaryota; Metazoa; Arthropoda; Insecta; Diptera; Drosophilidae.